Non-coding RNA from Sphagnurus paluster, 118 nucleotides. NCBI's taxonomy places the organism in Eukaryota, Fungi, Basidiomycota, Agaricomycetes, Agaricales, Lyophyllaceae. The record is from the annotation of a GenBank genome assembly.
GGUGAGAUGGCCGAGCGGUCUAAGGCGCCAGACUAAGGACCAAGACAUCCGAUGUCUACCUGUUACUACCUGUUAUCUGGUCUCUUCGGGGGCGUGGGUUCGAAUCCCAUUCUCAUCA